This 497-nucleotide ribosomal RNA is filed under the name uncultured bacterium. Its description in RNAcentral is "partial 16S ribosomal RNA". It matches the Rfam family "Bacterial small subunit ribosomal RNA", at positions 28 to 507 of the family's 1533-position model. The record is from RNAcentral.
GAUGAACGCUGGCGGCGUGCCUAAUACAUGCAAGUCGAGCGAACAGACGAGGAGCUUGCUCCUCUGACGUUAGCGGCGGACGGGUGAGUAACACGUGGAUAACCUACCUAUAAGACUGGGAUAACUUCGGGAAACCGGAGCUAAUACCGGAUAAUAUAUUGAACCGCAUGGUUCAAUAGUGAAAGACGGUUUUGCUGUCACUUAUAGAUGGAUCCGCGCCGCAUUAGCUAGUUGGUAAGGUAACGGCUUACCAAGGCAACGAUGCGUAGCCGACCUGAGAGGGUGAUAGGCCACCCUGGAACUGAGACACGGUCCAGACUCCUACGGGAGGCAGCAGUAGGGAAUCUUCCGCAAUGGGCGAAAGCCUGACGGAGCAACGCCGCGUGAGUGAUGAAGGUCUUCGGAUCGUAAAACUCUGUUAUUAGGGAAGAACAAAUGUGUAAGUAACUAUGCACGUAUUGACGGUACCUAAUCAGAAAGCCACGGCUAACUACGUG